UACGUAGGGUGCGAGCGUUGUUCGGAAUUACUGGGCGUAAAGCGCGCGCAGGCGGCUUUUUAAGUCCGACGGUGAAAUGCCGGGGCUCAACCCCGUGCCCGCCGCGGAUACUGGGGAGCUGGAGACGAGUAGAGGCAAGCGGAAUUCCUGGUGUAGCGGUGAAAUGCGCAGAUAUCAGGAGGAACACCGGUGGCGAAGGCGGUUCUCUGGGCGAUUACCUGACGCUGAGGAGCGAAAGUGUGGGGAGCGAACAGG
RNAcentral lists this ribosomal RNA (255 nucleotides) under uncultured bacterium. RNAcentral's name for it is "partial 16S ribosomal RNA". It matches the Rfam family "Bacterial small subunit ribosomal RNA", at positions 524 to 776 of the family's 1533-position model. The record is from RNAcentral.